AUUGAACGCUGGCGGCAGGCCUAACACAUGCAAGUCGAACGGUAACAGGGAUCAGCUUGCUGAUUCGCUGACGAGUGGCGGACGGGUGAGUAAUGUCUGGGAAACUGCCUGAUGGAGGGAGAUAACUACUGGAAACGGUAGCUAAUACCGCAUAACGUCGCAAGACCAAAGAGGGGGACCUUCGGGCCUCUUGCCAUCGGAUGUGCCCAGAUGGGAUUAGCUAGUAGGUGGGGUAACGGCUCACCUAGGCGACGAUCCCUAGCUGGUCUGAGAGGAUGACCAGCCACACUGGAACUGAGACACGGUCCAGACUCCUACGAGAGGCAGCAGUGGGGAAUAUUGCACAAUGGGCGCAAGCCUGAUGCAGCCAUGCCGCGUGUAUGAAGAAGGCCUUCGGGUUGUAAAGUACUUUCAGCGGGGAGGAAGGGAGUAAAGUUAAUACCUUUGCUCAUUGACGUUACCCGCAGAAGAAGCACCGGCUAACUCCGUG
Molecule: ribosomal RNA, 490 nt
Filed under: uncultured bacterium
Lineage: Bacteria
Description: partial 16S ribosomal RNA
Rfam family: Bacterial small subunit ribosomal RNA
Source: RNAcentral